UACGUAGGUGGCAAGCGUUGUCCGGAUUUACUGGGUGUAAAGGGCGUGCAGCCGGGAAGACAAGUCAGAUGUGAAAUCCCGCGGCUCAACCGCGGAACUGCAUUUGAAACUGUUUUUCUUGAGUACCGGAGAGGUCAUCGGAAUUCCUUGUGUAGCGGUGAAAUGCGUAGAUAUAAGGAAGAACACCAGUGGCGAAGGCGGAUGACUGGACGGCAACUGACGGUGAGGCGCGAAAGCGUGGGGGGCAAACAGG
RNAcentral lists this ribosomal RNA (253 nucleotides) under uncultured bacterium. RNAcentral's name for it is "partial 16S ribosomal RNA". It matches the Rfam family "Bacterial small subunit ribosomal RNA", at positions 524 to 776 of the family's 1533-position model. The record is from RNAcentral.